GUCACAGAGCCAGACCCACCCCAGACCCUCCCCUCCCCCUCCUCAGAAAGCCUCCUUAGGGGCUCAAUCCAUUUCUUCUGUCAGGAGAUGGAGGCACAGGGAGAGAAAGAAGUGGGAGAGGAGGAUGCUGGAGAGGCAGGGAGGUGGCACAAAUGAAGGCAGAGGGUCCCAUCACUGACUUUCAAUCAACACAGUGCUGCUUCUGUUCACAAAGAACAGGAUCUGUCAACACUCCUACUACUUGCGAAGAGCUGGAGAAGAGCUUUUGCCCUUACUCCCUCUCCGUGGCAGAAGUGACUUACCUGAUGGAUGAGAUUAAAAGAAUUGGCCUUUUCUCUGGCUUACCAACAUGGAGGCAGCCUAUUUUUUCCCACCUACCUCUCCUUCUAGGUGCUCCACAAGCUACAUUAGGUGCUGGAGAUGGACCAGAUGCUGGAGAUGGAAAGCAUCCCUGUCUUGAAGAGCUCACAUUGGUCAUCAAUGCCUAAAGGUGGUUUCUCUGCUCUCUCAUUUUGCCUGAAGGCCUGUUAUAAGCUAUAGGCCAGAAACUAGGUCUUCUGAAAUUAACAACAAAGAAGAGCCUCCGAGCCCUGGGAGGAAGGACUGUAUCAGAUACUCCAAUUAUUGAUACUGCAAGAAAUACACUCACGGCUGCAGGUUUCCCAGAGAAGCUAAUCUUACCACUGUGGGUGGAGACCUGUCAGACUGUACCUGGGGCAUCGUUCGGAACUUCCAGGACUCCUGUAACCCAGCAGUAGAAGACUUUGUGAAAGCAGACAGCUGAUCCAAGGUCUGACAAAACAAGAAUUGAUUAUGUGGAUGAUGAGGGAAAUAUUGUCUUUGUUGGCAUUGUCUUUAAUGUUCUAUCUUUGAAGGGCAUACAAAGAAGCCCUUUGCCUGUAUUCUUGGGGCAUCUGUAGCUGGCUAUAUUUGAGCAAAGUGGAAUGUAAUACUGUCUGAAUGGUGCCUUAUUCCAAUUGACCUCCCAGAAUUCAUGAAAGGCAGUCUAAGGAAAUCUUAAUAGAGGUAACAAACUAAUGAGUCACAAAGGAAUGUAUACACUUUAAAUAAUGUCACAAAGGAAUGUAUAUACCUUAAAUAAUGUCAUCCAACUGGUAGACUACCUUAUAGCAUUCUUGUGAGGAUUAACCUAAUAAUCUGUGAAAAAGGUUUACUGCAGUGCCUGGCCUGAAGUAGUGGCUCAAUAAAGGUUAUUUUUUAAGGUUAUCA
RNAcentral lists this long non-coding RNA (1230 nucleotides) under Equus caballus (horse). Its description in RNAcentral is "lncRNA (ENSECAG00000044303.1)". The record is from RNAcentral. Lineage: Eukaryota; Metazoa; Chordata; Mammalia; Perissodactyla; Equidae.